UUUAGCUCCUCUUAUUUAUCAUCCUACGUCGGUUCCCCCUUCCAUUUUCGUCUUUGGUUGAGUUUAUCACAUCGCGGAAACUUUCCAUUUUUCUUUGAUCUUUGUGUUUAUCUUCGAAAACUUCACAUUUAUCCUCUUAACUUGACAUUUAUCUUCUUCUGGUAAUAAAUGAUAAACCGUCGUAACGCUUGGGCUUGAUUCCGCAUAAAAUCAUAAGUGGGCUCUUUGUCGUGUCCUGGGCUUUUCCGGGCCAUUUUCCGACUUAAGGUUUUUACGAUUUCAUAAAAAGAGUGCUUUCGAAACAACGUCAAUUCCGAAGAACAUUCAAAUUCCUCGUAUAGGCAAUUCUAGGUGUUUAGCUAACCGUUAUCACCCUAUACGAUCAAUCCGAAUGUUAUUUGAGAAAACGAGUUCUUG
This 417-nucleotide long non-coding RNA is filed under the name Brassica rapa (field mustard). Its description in RNAcentral is "long non-coding RNA (BRAP_LNC006815)". Lineage: Eukaryota; Viridiplantae; Streptophyta; Magnoliopsida; Brassicales; Brassicaceae. The record is from RNAcentral.